AUCACCUGGGAAUCUUGUUAAAUGCAGAUUCUGAUUCAGUAGGUCUGGAGCGGAGUCCAAGAUUCUGCCUUUCUAACAAGAUCCCAAGUGAUGCUCU
This 97-nucleotide microRNA precursor is filed under the name Equus caballus (horse). Its description in RNAcentral is "mir-544 microRNA precursor family". It matches the Rfam family "mir-544 microRNA precursor family". The record is from Rfam by way of RNAcentral. Lineage: Eukaryota; Metazoa; Chordata; Mammalia; Perissodactyla; Equidae.